AUGCGUCAGCCACCCGGUUUUGUUGAUCCUGCUCAGCCACAUCAUUUGUGUCGUCUUGACAAAGCUCUGUAUGGACUGAAACAGGCCCCUCGUGCGUGGCAUGCACGUCUUGGCACUGCUGUUCGUGCUCAUGGGUUUGUGCCUUCUGCAGCGGACACGUCUUUGUUUAUCUUUCAGCGACCGGAGGUGACUAUGUACAUUCUGGUCUAUGUUGAUGACAUCAUCCUUCUUAGUUCGUCCGCUGCUGCUACGGAUCGGCUUGUGUCCUCUCUUGGUGCUGAGUUUGCUGUUAAGGACCUUGGCAGACUGCAUUAUUUUCUGGGUCUGGAAGUUCUUCCUUCUGAUGGUGGUUUGGCUCUUACUCAGAAGAAGUACUCCCAGGAUCUUCUACAUUGUGCAGGUAUGUUACAGUGCAAGCCUGCUAUGAAUCCCAUGUCUGUCACAGACAAACUGACCGCUCUUGCUGGUGACUUGCUAUCUCCUGAGGAUGCCACUGAGUACCGCAACAUCGUUGGUGGGUUGCAGUACUUGCUUAUCACUUGA
This 543-nucleotide ribosomal RNA is filed under the name Triticum aestivum (bread wheat). RNAcentral describes it as "partial small subunit ribosomal RNA". The record is from RNAcentral. Lineage: Eukaryota; Viridiplantae; Streptophyta; Magnoliopsida; Poales; Poaceae.